Molecule: RNA transcript, 1533 nt
Organism: Prosopis cineraria
Lineage: Eukaryota; Viridiplantae; Streptophyta; Magnoliopsida; Fabales; Fabaceae
Gene name: heavy metal-associated isoprenylated plant protein 36-like
Exons: 4
Source: RefSeq, a predicted model, not a curated record
UCAAACCUCUGAAGAAGACUCCUAAUAAUCCCUCAAUGGUGUCAUCAUAAGCACGGUGGUCGUUUGUCUGUUAGUAGGAUACUAGGAUGCUAUGAUGACGUGGCAUCCACGUCAAGUGCUGUUGCCUCGAUAGUCAAGUGCUUCUCUUUUUCUUAUAAGUCCUCUCCUUCACUCCAUCUUUCUUGCCACCAACACACACACUCAAGUUUUCCAUUGAUCCCUUGCUUCCCAUUCCUGUAUGGCAGCCAAACCAGUUGAAGAUGCACGUCCCGCUGCAGAAACCUUGAAGUACCAGACGUGGGUAUUGAAAGUCUUGAUCCACUGCGAAGGCUGCAAGAAGAAAGUCAAGAAAGUUCUUCAGGGAAUCGAUGGGGUUUAUACAACGGAAAUUGAUUCUCAGCAGCACAAGGUGAGAGUGACAGGGAACGUGGAGGCUGAGACUCUCAUCAAGAAGCUCCUGAGAUCAGGAAAGCUAGCAGAGCUUUUGCCUCAAGAAAAGGUCGACAAGAAAGACAACAAGAAGUCUGCAAAAUCCAAAGGUGGUGGUGGUGGUAAAGAGAAAGAGUCAUCAGACCACAAAAAUAUUGAACCCUCUGUGAAGGAAGAUGACCAAAAGGGUCCAGGGAGUGAUAACAACGGUGAAGGUGAGAAGGAGGCUGGCGGUCAAAAGAAGAAAAAGAACAAGAAGAACAAGGGGCAGGAUGGUCCUGUUUCUCCCAAUAAUAACGAUAAUGAGGGUUCUGGCGAAGAAAGCACAAAACCUGAAGCAUUACCAGUCACCGCCAUGGCUUCCUUGAACCCUCCUAGACCCCCACUUCAGCAACCCUACCCGUACGCACCACCACAAGAGUACUAUUCACCUCCACCACCUCAACCAUAUCAAUAUGGGUUAAGCUAUAGCACAGCCUAUCCCAUCUCUGGUUCUUCCUAUUAUGCCCCUGGUUUCAUGCAUUCUAAUUAUAACAUUCCCUACUCUCGCCUGCCGCCGCCGCCGGACUCCUUCAGCCACCGUCAUGUCGACCAUGAUGAGUACGGAGCUGUAUGCUCCGUCAUGUAGUAUUAAUGUUAUAUCACUGAGGGCAAGAGUGGGGUUUACAUUAUAUGUUGUGUUAUGUGCUGUGACCUGUGAGUAAUACUGCUUCGUUGAAAAGAGUGCAGACCAAAAUCACAACUUACAAGAGGAUAUUUUGCAGGAUCAUAGCUUGGAACCAACUGAUCAGAACUUUACAAAGCUUGAGAGAUGUUUUCUGUCAGGGUCGCGUUUAUCAAAUGCCAUGUUGUUGUUAUAUUCUCGCAGGAUACGCUGCCAAAAAAAGAUUUCCCCACCAUAUUUUGCAAGUUCUCCGUUCAAGCCUCUCCUUUUUUGACCUUUUCAGCUUAGUUUCUAGCUUGGAAGUGGAAGUCCCAUUGAAUGAUGAUUCAAAGAAGGUUAUUUAGGUCAAAGAAUGAUUAAUUACAAUAGUUAAUUAUAUUUUAAAAAGUUGUCUUUCACAUACGCUUUAGAUGGGAAAGAUGAAAUAUAUGAUAUGAUUU